UAGGGAAUCUUCCACAAUGGACGCAAGUCUGAUGGAGCAACGCCGCGUGAGUGAAGAAGGGUUUCGGCUCGUAAAGCUCUGUUGUUAAAGAAGAACGUGGGUAAGAGUAACUGUUUACCCAGUGACGGUAUUCAACCAGAAAGCCACGGCUAACUACGUGCCAC
RNAcentral lists this ribosomal RNA (164 nucleotides) under uncultured bacterium. Its description in RNAcentral is "partial 16S rRNA". It matches the Rfam family "Bacterial small subunit ribosomal RNA", at positions 355 to 511 of the family's 1533-position model. The record is from RNAcentral.